Molecule: long non-coding RNA, 1065 nt
Organism: Carassius auratus (goldfish)
Lineage: Eukaryota; Metazoa; Chordata; Actinopteri; Cypriniformes; Cyprinidae
Exons: 3
Source: RefSeq, a predicted model, not a curated record
CAAUGUGCUUUUUAGCAACAAUGUGACUGACCAGGCUGGAGAGAAGCUACUGGCAGCACUAUCCCACUGCAGAGUUCUUCAGAAACUACAGCUGUCCAAAACCCGGCUUGGUCAGGCAUGUGCUGCUAAACUAGCUCAAGUCUUUCCGUUACUGCCCCAACUUACAGAACUCAAUUUGUCAGAGAAUCAUUUUGGGCCACAUGGAUCCUUGGUUCUUAGUGUCAAGGUCGGAUGAGCAUGAAGGCACUGAAAACACUACAGUAAGACAUACAGUAGCCUUAGUGAGCAUAAGAGGCUUAUUAAGAAAACACACUGUAAACCAGUGUUACUACUUAUCUCUCGGUUUGACUUCGAUUGGGAGUUCAGAUCUGGUUGGUGUGGCCUCAUCCCACAAACACUGUCCGUCCAUAGAGGACAUCAGGUAGGAUAAGACAUUUCAGACUUUUUUUUAAUGCUGCAGUUGGACUGAUAAAUGCAUUGUCCCGGUCCCUGUGUUGUGUGUGUGUUGCCAUUAGAAAAAUACUUGAGUAAGUGCUUGAGUGCUUGCUGUGAAGGUUUAGCUAUUACUGCGAUUACAAAAUGCUGAUGUCAUUAAAACUAAUGAUUGCAGCUUGGAAGCAAAUAAUAUAACUACAGCAGGAGCCACAGUGAUAGCCACAUGCAUCCUAUUAUGCCCCUCCAUUGAAGUAAUAAGGUUUGACUAGUACAUACACUCUUUUUCAGAAAAUGUUUUACACAGACUCUGGAGGAACCCAAUUGCCAAAGAAGAUGAGAAUCUGAAAGAUUAGAGACUUAAUUUUUCAUCAUUGUAAUUACUUGUGUUUUCUUUUUAUAAUUUUUCCCCCUUAUAUUGUAAACAAUAUUGUUGUAGUACUAUUACUGGAUUGUAAUGUCUAGUUAUUUAAUCAGGGAACACAUUACCUUAUUAGAGCAAUUCAUUACACCAAAGUGACCAAACAACACAGUUUCCAGUUGUUCAGGGACUUGAAUCAAUUAAUGUCCAUCUAAUGGUAACAGUAGGCUCUGUUUAAUAAAGAGAAAGAGCAGGCAACAAACUAUGGCAUA